RNAcentral lists this ribosomal RNA (484 nucleotides) under uncultured bacterium. Its description in RNAcentral is "partial 16S ribosomal RNA". It matches the Rfam family "Bacterial small subunit ribosomal RNA", at positions 30 to 507 of the family's 1533-position model. The record is from RNAcentral.
AUUGAACGCUGGCGGCAGGCCUAACACAUGCAAGUCGAGCGGAUGAAGGGAGCUUGCUCCUGGAUUCAGCGGCGGACGGGUGAGUAAUGCCUAGGAAUCUGCCUGGUAGUGGGGGAUAACGUCCGGAAACGGGCGCUAAUACUGCAUACGUCCUGAGGGAGAAAGUGGGGGAUCUUCGGACCUCACGCUAUCAGAUGAGCCUAGGUCGGAUUAGCUAGUUGGUGGGGUAAAGGCCUACCAAGGCGACGAUCCGUAACUGGUCUGAGAGGAGGAUCAGUCACACUGGAGGGGAGACACGGUCCAUACGCCUACGGGAGGCAGCAGUGGGGAAUAUUGGACAAUGGGCGAAAGCCUGAUCCAGCCAUGCCGCGUGUGUGAAGAAGGUCUUCGGAUUGUAAAGCACUUUAAGUUGGGAGGAAGGGCAGUAAGUUAAUACCUUGCUGUUUUGACGUUACCAACAGAAUAAGCACCGGCUAACUUCGUG